This 448-nucleotide ribosomal RNA is filed under the name Sohtsuia diting. RNAcentral's name for it is "Diplommatinidae gen. n. sp. d ZTL-2023 partial large subunit ribosomal RNA". It matches the Rfam family "Archaeal large subunit ribosomal RNA", at positions 2008 to 2665 of the family's 2987-position model. The record is from RNAcentral. Lineage: Eukaryota; Metazoa; Mollusca; Gastropoda; Architaenioglossa; Diplommatinidae.
CUGCAGUAUCCUGACUGUGCAAAGGUAGCGCGAUAAUUUGCCUUAUAAUUGAAGGAUGGGAUGAAUGGUUUGAUAAGGAUGUAACUGUCUCUUAUAUAUAGUUUAAAAGUUAACUUUUAGGUUAAAAGGCCUAAAUUGAAUUAAGGGACGAGAAGACCCUGUUGAGCUUUAUAAGGAAUUUGUUAGUAAAGUUUUACGGUUUGUGGCUGGCUUACUGGUUCUUUGAAUUUUAGUUGGGGCGACUUGGGAACAAGAGAAACUUCCUUUGUAUUUUAAGUGAGGCUGUGAUCCAAAUAGUUUUGAACUGAGAACAAGUUACCACAGGGAUAACAGCGUGAUUUCUUUUGAGAGAGCUAAUCGAAAGGGGAGUUUGCGACCUCGAUGUUGGAUUAGGGAGUGUAAAGGUUGUAGCAGCUUUUAUAGUUAGUCUGUUCGACUAUUUGAUCCU